UUCAUUAUUGAGAGAUUGUGAAAAUUAAGAAUAUACAAAUAUCCUCUUCAAUCUCUAUCCAAGGAGUUUGGUAACCUCAUUGCCUCACGAGCAACGGAGCUAAGGAGAGGUAGUUGGCUCAUGCCAACAUCCCCUAUUACACACAAACCAUAGCUAAUUAGGUACUCUCUAACCAGGGUAGUUAAAUACCGGCAUUUGCAUCCCCAUUAUUUGCUUUUAUAAGAUCUAGGAGAAACCACUUCAAGCACUCAAGGCUAGGACAAAAACACAAGCACUCAAGUCUUCGACCUAAAAUCAAGCAGAAAACGAUGGCCCCUUCUACCCUCACAGCUCUGGCAGAAGAGAAAACCCUCCAAGCAAGCUUUGUUCGCGACGAAGAUGAACGUCCGAAGGUGGCUUAUAACCACUUCAGCAAUGAAAUCCCUGUCAUUUCAAUAGCUGGGAUUGAUGAUGGUGGUGAAAAGAGAGCUGAAAUAUGCAACAAGAUCGUCGAGGCAUGCGAGGACUGGGGAGUUUUUCAAAUUGUUGAUCAUGGCGUUGAUGCUAAGCUGGUGUCUGAAAUGACAACUCUUGCUAAAGAGUUUUUUGCUUUGCCACCGGAAGAGAAGCUUCGGUUUGAUAUGUCUGGUGGCAAAAAGGGUGGCUUCAUUGUCUCCAGCCAUUUACAGGUAUAACUUCUUUUACGUUUUGUUUUCUAAAUUUAACAAUUACGCACAGACCUUUAUUGUUAAAUUCCCUAUCGGACUGAUCUUUUUCCAAAUUAAAAAUACAUGUUUCCAACUCAAAAAUAUACCAUGCCAAGGCAACAAGUAGUUGGUGCCCCGCUAGCUAGCAGGCAAAAUCAAUCAAACUUCUGUGAAAUAGUUAAACAGUUUUUUUGAGUUUUUUUAUUAUAUAAUCUUGAUUAGAAACUUAAAAGAAUAGAUUAUUCAGUUUGGUUUCACUAUAUAUAUUGGGUUUUUUUUUUUUUAAUGAGAUAGAGUGGGUAAAGUAAAAGUACAAUGCCUCACUUUAGGAAUCAGUAUCAUCAAGUACUUGAUGCUUUGAAGAUAGUAGACAGUACUAAUUUUUAAUCAAUAUCCUGAUUUAUGAUCUUAUAAAACAGGGAGAGGCAGUUCAAGACUGGCGUGAAAUAGUGACCUUCUUCUCAUACCCGAUUCGCACCAGAGACUAUUCAAGGUGGCCUGACAAGCCAGAGGCAUGGAAAGCAGUGACCGAGGAAUACAGUAAGAAGCUAAUGGAACUUGCUUGCAAGCUUCUUGGGGUCUUGUCAGAGGCCAUGGGAUUAGAAACAGAGGCCUUAACUAAGGCUUGUGUUGACAUGGACCAAAAGGUGGUGGUCAAUUUCUAUCCAAAAUGUCCACAGCCAGACCUUACACUUGGACUCAAAUGGCAUGAUUGGAGGAAGGUCUCCAAAUAAGAUAUUAUUUGCUAAGAACACUGGCAAGAUUUUCCAGACAGAUUUUCACCCUGCAUAUGACGCAAAUGGCAUGAUUGAGUUCAAUGAACCUGUUCCUUUUCGGCUAACAAGGAACAUGCAGGCAUUCUUCUCCCAUUUUGGAGUAGAAGGUCUUAUUGUGUCUGCCAUGUGUGCUGCAGCACAGGCUGUGGUUUCACCAAAAGUAAGUUUUGGUGACCAUCCUUAGUUGGUGAGUUACUUUGAUGGACAUCAUCCAGAUGUAAUGUUUUUAAAUUUCCAUUUUGCAGCAAAGCAAACAUUUAUGGCAUCAAUUAGCCAUGUUUUUCCGUGAUGAACUUCUGUCUUGGUCUUGGAGACGACCACUGGGGUUGAAUCUGGGACCUGCUGCCAGCGGGAGUAGUAUGAACCCUGCUGAUUUCAAGCACAAGGUCACUACCAACGUAGACAAUGUCAUCAACCGUAUCACUGGAAUUGCUCCACAGCAUCUCUCUGAAGAGGUAACCUCUAUCUCCAAUAUCCCAUCAAAUGUGAUGUCUCAAUUACAUAUUUUGGUAGUUAUGAAUAGCAGAGAUACAGGCCCUGACAUAUUUUGGUUAAUCUGUGGCAAAACCAUCAUGUAUAUUGUAGUGGUGAGGCUUGAAGAUAAGCUGCCUGAUUUGCUUUGGAUAUCUUGAAUCAUCAUCUCACACAUUCUUUGUGGUGAACUGAGAUUUAAAAUAUUGUAGAGUUCAGGAUUGAACUUAAAGCACCAUGGCUUUAUGGUUUGGAUCAGAUACAAGGAAAUUCAUUAACAUUGCAACCCUAAUUGGCUGGAGUUAAAACUAAGACAGAAGUAGCUAAUUUCUUCAUAUUGACUUUACCAAUCGUAUUCGAACAGAAAUUAUUCAUCUUUCUGUGAAGCAGUCAAUAAGCAUAUAUGAUAAGAAAGGUGACUGUUGUCCCAAAUCUGUCAUGAUGCCCAAAAAUGUGAUUAACGGAAGAUCUAAAACUAAUUCGUUUCCUUUGCUGAUGGAAGUGUUUUGUUUUCUUUCCCAUUUUGUGCUGCAUCAGGAAGAAAAUGCUGUGGACCCACCACAGUCGGUGCAGAGGGGUGUCACUGAGUUGGUAGAAGCUGCUUUGACACCAAGGAACUUGUGCAUGAUGGAUCCAACAUGGCAUCCCUGGUUUUAAGCCAUGAAUGGAGAGUAGCGAUUGAAUGUCAAUAGUGGUUUUCUAUUGUAAAUAAAGAUUAUUAUGUACAGCUGAAUCUGGAAAUUGCUGCUAGUUGUCAUUCAUUUUGAUGUCUAAAUAGUUAACGGUAGGCUUUAUAUAUGAAUGUCUACUUAUUGAAUUAAGCAGUUGCAUCAUGACAAUUCUACAAUCAGAUGGAAGAUUUUAGUCUUAGGAGUCCAUGAAAAUGGAACGUGUCUUAACUGAGUUUAUGCACAUUUUAAAUAGUGAACUUAUUAGUUUUUGCCCUUUCCGGGGGGUAUUUUGGUUCUCUUGAAAGGCUCAGUGGCCAUUAAAAUGAUUUAAUUACUUUUAAAAGUAAAAUAUUUGAAACUGGUAUCUAUAGGUUCUUAUUUACUUAAUUUGUUCAAGCACAUUAAAAUGAUUUAAUUACUUUUUAGAACAAGAUUUUUAACAUUUUAAUUACCAUUAAUAACUAAAAAAAUUUAGAACUUGUCAGAGGUUUUUUAUUUUUCUUUUUAUUAUGUAUUUUUCUUCUUUUUUGUUAUUAACAAAUUUAAUGAAAGCUGAAUCUACAAGCAGGGAAUCAAAAAAUAAAGACUAGGCAUCGCGCAAGAUGCUCCAUAGGAAUCCUUCUCUCUUCAUAAUUCAUUCUUCUUUUCGUUAUGGCAAUGCAAUGCAAGAGUAAAUUAUUGAGUUCGACUCGUAUGAAGAUGCUCUCGGGACUACUAAAUUAUUUCAUUUAUACUGUAAAAGUAGUAAACAUCCCUCAACAUCUUCUACUCCCUUCAUACAUGCAACAUAUAGAUUUCUAAAAAAACAGCCAAAACAGCAAAAACCCCAACUAUACAUAGGGAUCAUGUUAAAAUUCUUAAGAAAUAUUAGAUAAAUAAGAGGCACACAUCUCUCCAUGAAAUCCAGCUGCGUCAUCAUAAUCUUAAUUUCCGUGCAAAUAAGCACAAAAUCUCCUUUUAACUCCCGAGAAGAAUCCGCUCUAACAUCCCACUUUCUACCACACCCAAUAUUACUGUUAAGCUCUCUCAGCUGCUCUCUCGUUGAUGACAUUUUCUUGAUUUAAACUUCCUAUCAACACAUCAUUUGCAGAUGUGUUAAUUUAGAACGAGAUUUGCCACAAAACCGAUGACAUUAAUCUUUGUUCCACAGAAGCAUUAUCAUUUGGAGUUAUGAACAAACUAAAAGGAUUGCGCUAUUGUUUCAUUAAUCUUUGUUCCACAGUUUCACUUUCAUGUGUAAAAUCAAAACCCACAAAAUGCUCAAAAAAUGAACAACAAAGCAAAGGAAUUUAUCUUCCAAAUUAAUUGGUGUGGAGAAAGACAUCUAAUGACAAAACCAACUGAUCGGAUAAAAAAAAAAUCACCCAUUCCUCUUCUGUAUGGAAGCGUAUGUGCUUCCCUUUUGGAGUUGGCAAACCCUUCAAGCGUAAAUCAUUCCUCUUCUGUAUGGAAGCGUAUGUGCUUCCCUUUUGGAGUUGGUAAACCUUUCAAGCGUAAAUCAUUAUCUGAAUCCUUAUCUCCACAGUCUACUACUUCUUCAACAAUCUCAUCAUCACUGUUGUAAACAAAUCGUGUGUGCUUUCCUUCAAACUUGGCCAUAGCUUUCUCUUUGACACUUAUUUGGCUAAUGCCUUCACAGAGCUCAUCAAGCAACCCUCCAACAUCAGCCUCCUCCUCCUCCUCUUCUGCCUCUUCAUUUUCAUCACGAUAAUAAUAAUACUCUUCUUCUUCUUCUUCAAUUACUUCUUCCUCAUCUUCAUCAUGGGUGCUUGCAUUGACCUGAAUUGACCAAACAGAGGCAUUGUCAUCAUCUGCCAAUGACUUGUCUUUGCUUUCACUUGUUAUCACUUCACAGUUAUCUCCUUGGUAAGUCAGUGCAGAAGAGCAUUCUGAUGAAUCAGCUGGACUUUCAGAUUUCUCAGAGAAAUCCAGCAUUAAUGACCUCGUCAAACUCUUUUGAGAUUCAAGACUCUCUUGUUUCUUCACUUCAAAGAUCUCACUCACCCCCUGCCAUUAAGAUAGGAACCCAGAUCCAAUAAGAUCCAAAAAGAAAAUCAAAGUAACAGUUGAUAAAACUCUAGAUUAUCAAACACAAGACAACCUGUAUACUGUCUGCAAUUACAUUUUCAGUUUCUUUCAUAAAUAAAUACCCAACUCAAGAUUUCCAAUUAAAACAGUACGUCAGGAACAGGUACUGUUACCUGACAAAUCUUUAAUUUCUCUUCAAUAACUGGCAAGGGAGUGACAGAGGCCAAGACAAUGUCAUCUCCAGAAAGAUUAGGGACCUGAGGAGUAUUUGCUGGAGUUGGUGCAAGAAGUCCCAUUGGAGAAUUAACAAAUCCUUGAAGAUGCAGAAAAGGACGGCUCUCCAAAGAAAGUUUUGAGAGCUCUGCCUCUUCUUCAACUUUCUGCAAGAGGGUUUUCACUUGACCCCUAAGCAAUGCCUCUCCCGACCCAGGUGUGUUGGGGAUGUUGUCUUGGCUCUACUGUUCUUUUGCUUGGCUAAUGCUGAUGAUGGAGUCUCUAAAAUUCCCAUUGCAAUCCCAACAAUUGGUGAAUCAUUUGUUAUAUCAAUAAGUGCAGACCUAUCUUGUAGUUGUUGUUUUGCAUUCUUCCUUCUUGAUUUCGUUACACCCUUAUCAGAAGAAUCUUCAAUCUUCCCUGAAAUAGCAUCAACAACCAAGAAAUCUCAACAAACAAAUCCAGAAACUGUAUAAAGAUCAUUCUUUAUCAAUCCAAGAUUGAACAAAACCAAGGAUUAAUGCAAAACCAUUAUUUCCCAAUCUUUGAUUUCAAAGGGAAUGGAUGAAAACACUUACUUGAGAGGGGAAUAUUGUUGUUGGUGUUAAGAGCAGCAAGAGUUUGUGAUCUUGUAACUCUUUUUGUUGAAGAUGGGGUCUCCAUUGAAAUUAAUUCAAGAAGGGAAUAAGAAAAAGAAUCCGAGAGAAGAGAAUGAGAGAAAAACACAAAGCAAGAAAGCAGAAUUGAAAGCAAAAAAAUACAAAGUAAUGGAUGUUUUUGACAUAGUAGAUAGGGUUUAUAAAGUGAGAGAAUCUGACCGUUGGAGCCUAAACACAAGCACACGGAUUCGCACAUUUGCAGGGAAACUAGCCGUUAUGGUGGAUUAAUUUUGAAUAGUGUGCCUCCGGUUUUCUUUCGCACAGUUCCUUUGUUUGGGUUGGAGAUUUGGACUUGGUAUAUUGGGCUGAUCCUUUUAACCGGAAAGAAAUAAUGGAACUUUCUAAAGAUGCCCACUUCCUUUGAUACAUUUGAAUUUUAUACACACACACACUGUGUGUGAUCUUCCAAGAAAAAAUAAACCUUUUUUUUUUUUUAAUUUGUGAGAAUAAUUGGAUCAAAUUAACGGGGAAAUUGAAAAUAAAAUAAAGUAUUGAGUGAUUUGCUUCCAAAUAUAAACAUCUAUAUGAUUUUUCAAAAAAUAUAAAAUCAUGAUAAAAGCAGGUUGUGACCUGAUUUUUUUAAAUAAGUGUUGGAAGGUAUUCAAGAGUAUAUUGUGGUUGCUUUUCAAAGUGUUUUUCAUUUAGAAAUGCAUCAAUAAUUUUUUUUUAAAAUCAUUUUUGAUAUUCACAUCAAAACAAUCCAAAAACACUAAAAAAUAUUAAUUUUAAGCAAAACAAAUUAAAAUUUUUGAGAAUACAGGCUGGACGCAUUUCCAAACAAUCUAUUAACCUCAAAGACAUGAUUUCUUUAUUCAAUUAUUUCUUGUUUUUUUAGAUUGUUUUGUGAAGCAACUUUUAAUGCAUGUUAUAUAUACGUUAAUUUGUUCAAACUGUUAUGUAUAAAGUUAUUAAAAAUAUUUCUUUAACACGACACAGAAAUACAAUAUAAAUUUGAAUAAUAAAAAUAAAUAGUAAAAUCAUAAAAUUAUAAGUAUUGUUUUUAUACAUGGUUAGUACAAACAAUAAAUAAUAUUAUCAAUAAAGAUAAUUUGAUAGUUAUUCCCAAUGAAAUGUUAGCAAUAGUACAAAGAUUUUUUUAUUUAAGAUUAGGUUAGACCAUCCUAUUUUCAAAAGACUACAAGAUAAGUAAACUCGGUUAAGAUGCAAAGGUAUCAAAGUUAUCUUAAGGAGAUUAAUUCCAAGGAGAGAUAUGGAGUUUAUUGAAGUGGAGUACUUUCAAGUUCUUUCUUUCAAGACUUGAGAUGAAUGAGUUUGAAGGUACGAGAUUCAAGAUGUAUUUAUCCUAAUUUUUGACAAAAAAAUAAAUGCAUAGCCAUGGAUGUCAAUAAAGUUGGUGAAGCAACAAGAAGAUUUCGUGUGAAAAGGGUUCAUCAUUUAAGCAAGAAGCUCUAAUAGCUUGUUUGAUAGUAUUUUUUAAAUAAUUUUACGUUAAAAUAUAUGUUAAUGAUAUUUUUUUAAUUUUUAAAAAUUAUUUUUAACAUCAGUACAUCAAAAUAAUUUAAAAACACUAAAAACAUAUUAAUUUGAAACAAAUAAAAAAAUAACUUUUUUUUAAUUUUUUUCAAAAAUAUUUUUAAAACACAAAAACAAACAAAUCCUAUAAAAAACUUUUUUUCGGUUUCCAUUCAUAAAUGAAAAAGUCUUUGCAGCCUCUUGACUUUAACUAUAAACCCUUCACCUGAAGUUGCACUACCUGAUGUAUCAGGUGACAUGCAUCAGUCAUUGAACUUGUAGUGUCUUCAAUCGAAGAAAUACCAAAUGGGUAGGGAAAUUGUAUAUCCCCCCGCCCGCCGGCGCCCCGCCCAUAUAUCAUGCAAUUAUUAUCAAAUAAUGUUUAUUAAAUAGUGUUAGUUUUACCCCCAAAAUAAUUAAAGUUGGAUAAUAAUUACUGGGGAUAACGUCAAAAUAUAACGUGAUUUCUUAAUAAAAAAACAUGUUCAUGAAAUAAAAAUAUUUUUUUGUAAAAAUAAAAAACAUAAAUAAAAAAUUUACCUGAUAAUUUUUUAAAAGUUUAAAUAAUUUUUUUUAUAUAGAUAUCUAUUUUAACUGAUAUAAAAAUAAAUUUUAAAAAUCUUCACGCGAGAAAAAAUGGUGUUAAAGAACAGAAAAAAGAAAAAAGAAAUUAAAAUAGGCGUUGAUGGAAAGGUAGGGAGAGACCGGGGGUAGGUAGAAAGGCACUGGGUAGGCAGAUAACUUUUGGACUUUUAGGUGAUGAAAAUGCACGUGACGACCUAGGAAGGGGUUGGAUUCCUAACCUUCUUAUAUAGGAAUUCUUUAUUAUUUUAUUUAUUUAUUUUUGGAAAUCUUCCUGCAUCACACAUAAUGACUUUAAUCAUGAAUGAAGCUAUUAAUCCAUGUCUGUUUUUUUCUAAAAUAUUUUUGAAAUUAAGGAAAUGAUCAUGUGUUUAUUAUUAAAUCAAAGUAUAUAAUUAUUUAUUUGAUUGCUCAUAACAAAUCGCAAUUUGUGGAAAAACAAAUUAAACAAAAGAGUAUAAUGGAGGCUGGAGAAUGGGGACAGAAGAUUAAUUAUGUAAUGGCUCAUCAGAUUAAAAUACUAAUUUUCUUUAGAAAUAAUCAAUUGAAGAGUAUACUAAUUUUCUUUUGCAUGUUACCCACUUAUUAUUCUGUCGGUGGUUUUGUUAAAAAUACUUCAAUUGACAGAAUCAUAAAUGAUUAUUGUUUGUCAAAAAAACUUAUUUAUAGAAGUAAAAACAAAUUACUUUAUAAUUUUGCCAAUAAUUCCAUUUAUAAGUAUGACAUGUUAUUAACAGAAAAUAUCAUUUGUAAUUUCAUCGGUGAUUUAUUUUUAUAUUAACAAUAUAAUUAACUUGUCGGUGAUUAAAUAAUGUCAGCGGCAUUUCUUAUAUUUUUUUUCCAAUUCUUUGCAACUCUAUAAUGAGUUUAGCCCAUCGAUGAUUCGUUUGCAAUAAUAAGUGGUAUUUCAGGUAAUUUUUAGUAUGUAAGUAAGUGCAUCAAUAAGUUGAUUAAUUUAUUUUAUUUUAUUUUAUUACAAUUAGAAUAGGACCUAUUACUGGAAUGGGUUGCCAAUCACUAAAUUCUUGGUUUAAUUAUUUCCAAACAGAGAAAAUUACAGUCAAUUCAUUUAAAACACGAAGAUAACAAAUGGGGUUUUCCUCCUGAGUUGUUAGCGAUCACCAAUGGAGCACGAAACCUGGCAUACAAAUUAAAAGCUAAAUAGGACGACAAUAAGUCUAAAUUAAGCACAAAAUCAUCCACCCCAUUAUUAUAUUUUCAUUAUUGAGAGAUUGUGAAAAUUAAGAAUAUACAAAUAUCCUCUUCAAUCUCUAUCCAAGGAGUUUGGUAACCUCAUUGCCUCACGAGCAACGGAGCUAAGGAGAGGUAGUUGGCUCAUGCCAACAUCCCCUAUUACACACAAACCAUAGCUAAUUAGGUACUCUCUAACCAGGGUAGUUAAAUACCGGCAUUUGCAUCCCCAUUAUUUGCUUUUAUAAGAUCUAGGAGAAACCACUUCAAGCACUCAAGGCUAGGACAAAAACACAAGCACUCAAGUCUUCGACCUAAAAUCAAGCAGAAAACGAUGGCCCCUUCUACCCUCACAGCUCUGGCAGAAGAGAAAACCCUCCAAGCAAGCUUUGUUCGCGACGAAGAUGAACGUCCGAAGGUGGCUUAUAACCACUUCAGCAAUGAAAUCCCUGUCAUUUCAAUAGCUGGGAUUGAUGAUGGUGGUGAAAAGAGAGCUGAAAUAUGCAACAAGAUCGUCGAGGCAUGCGAGGACUGGGGAGUUUUUCAAAUUGUUGAUCAUGGCGUUGAUGCUAAGCUGGUGUCUGAAAUGACAACUCUUGCUAAAGAGUUUUUUGCUUUGCCACCGGAAGAGAAGCUUCGGUUUGAUAUGUCUGGUGGCAAAAAGGGUGGCUUCAUUGUCUCCAGCCAUUUACAGGUAUAACUUCUUUUACGUUUUGUUUUCUAAAUUUAACAAUUACGCACAGACCUUUAUUGUUAAAUUCCCUAUCGGACUGAUCUUUUUCCAAAUUAAAAAUACAUGUUUCCAACUCAAAAAUAUACCAUGCCAAGGCAACAAGUAGUUGGUGCCCCGCUAGCUAGCAGGCAAAAU
Molecule: long non-coding RNA, 9618 nt
Filed under: Populus tremula
Lineage: Eukaryota; Viridiplantae; Streptophyta; Magnoliopsida; Malpighiales; Salicaceae
Description: long non-coding RNA (PTRE_LNC002378)
Source: RNAcentral